Molecule: transfer RNA, 25 nt
Filed under: Trochulus clandestinus
Lineage: Eukaryota; Metazoa; Mollusca; Gastropoda; Stylommatophora; Hygromiidae
Also listed under: 1 other name
Description: partial tRNA-Met
Source: RNAcentral
CCACACAUGGUAAAACCUUUAAAGA